CAUCUAUACAAAGCGGCAUCAUAAAGGUAUUUGCCCCGGGGUUUGAAAAGUUUGCAACCGAGUUGGUCCUGAAGCCGUAUACUGGAGCCAGUCAAAUUGUCGUCGAGAAAGUAGAACUGGAAGGUUCCUCAUUCAUUCGAGCCUACACAGACAUCAAACAUGGACCAAGUUGCCAAGUACACGGGUAUACUAACGCUGGUAA
Long non-coding RNA from Dreissena polymorpha, 202 nucleotides. RefSeq lists it as uncharacterized. Lineage: Eukaryota; Metazoa; Mollusca; Bivalvia; Myida; Dreissenidae. The transcript is spliced from 3 exons. The record is from RefSeq and is a predicted model, not a curated record.